GACGAACGCUGGCGGCGUGCUUAACACAUGCAAGUCGAACGGAAAGGCCCUGCUUUUGUGGGGUGCUCGAGUGGCGAACGGGUGGGUAACACGUGAGUAACCUGCCCUUGACUUUGGGAUAACUUCAGGAAACUGGGGCUAAUACCGGAUAGGAGCUCCUGCUGCAUGGUGGGGGUUGGAAAGUUUCGGCGGUUGGGGAUGGACUCGCGGCUUAUCAGCUUGUUGGUGGGGUAGUGGCUUACCAAGGCUUUGACGGGUAGCCGGCCUGAGAGGGUGACCGGCCACAUUGGGACUGAGAUACGGCCCAGACUCCUACGGGAGGCAGCAGUGGGGAAUAUUGCACAAUGGGCGGAAGCCUGAUGCAGCAACGCUGCGUGCGGGAUGACGGCCUUCGGGUUGUAAACCGCUUUCGCCUGUGACGAAGCGUGAGUGACGGUAAUGGGUAAAGAAGCACCGACUAACUACGUG
This 468-nucleotide ribosomal RNA is filed under the name uncultured bacterium. RNAcentral describes it as "partial 16S ribosomal RNA". It matches the Rfam family "Bacterial small subunit ribosomal RNA", at positions 28 to 507 of the family's 1533-position model. The record is from RNAcentral.